This 504-nucleotide ribosomal RNA is filed under the name uncultured bacterium. Its description in RNAcentral is "bacterial SSU rRNA". It matches the Rfam family "Bacterial small subunit ribosomal RNA", at positions 30 to 527 of the family's 1533-position model. The record is from RNAcentral.
AUUGAACGCUGGCGGCAUGCCUAACACAUGCAAGUCGAACGGAAGUAGGGGCAACUCUACUUUAGUGGCGGACGGGUGAGGAAUGCGUCGGAAUCUACCCUAUGGUGGGGGAUAACACAGGGAAACUUGUGCUAAUACCGCAUGAUGUCGAGAGACCAAAAGCAGGGGACCGCAAGGCCUUGCGCGAUAGGAUGAGCCGACGCCCGAUUAGCUAGUUGGUAGGGUAAAGGCCUACCAAGGCGACGAUCGGUAGCUGGUCUGAGAGGAUGAUCAGCCACACUGGGACUGAGACACGGCCCAGACUCCUACGGGAGGCAGCAGUGGGGAAUAUUGGACAAUGGGCGCAAGCCUGAUCCAGCAAUGCCGCGUGUGUGAAGAAGGCCUGCGGGUUGUAAAGCACUUUUGUUCGGGAAGAAAACGGAUCGGUUAAUACCCGGUUCGGAUGACGGUACCGAAAGAAUAAGCACCGGCUAACUUCGUGCCAGCAGCCGCGGUAAUGUAUCG